CCCUUAGAUGUUCUGGGCCGCACGCGUGCUACACUGAGUAAUUCAAUGGGUAAGGGAACGCUAGAGCAUUACCUAAUCUUGAAAUUUGCUCGUGAUGGGGAUCGACGGUUGCAAUUUUCCGUCGUGAACGAAGAAUACCUUGUAGGCGCAUGUCAUCAUCAUGCGCCGAAUACGUCCCUGCCCUUUGUACACACCGCCCGUCGCUCCUACCGAUUGAGUGAUCCGGUGAGGCUCUGGGACCUGGACGGAAAGAGCGUUUCGCUUGUUCUGUUUGGGAAACUUGGUCGAACCUUAUCAUUUAGAGGAAGGAGAAGUCGUAACA
Molecule: ribosomal RNA, 322 nt
Filed under: uncultured eukaryote
Lineage: Eukaryota
Description: partial 18S ribosomal RNA
Rfam family: Eukaryotic small subunit ribosomal RNA
Source: RNAcentral